Molecule: ribosomal RNA, 441 nt
Filed under: uncultured bacterium
Lineage: Bacteria
Description: bacterial SSU rRNA
Rfam family: Bacterial small subunit ribosomal RNA
Source: RNAcentral
CCUACGGGGGGCUGCAGUGGGGAAUAUUGCACAAUGGGCGCAAGCCUGAUGCAGCGACGCCGCGUGAGCGAUGAAGGCCUUCGGGUCGUAAAGCUCUGUCCUAAGGGAAGAAUAAUGACGGUACCUUAGGAAUAAGCCCCGGCUAACUUCGUGCCAGCAGCCGCGGUAAUACGAAGGGGGCUAGCGUUGCUCGGAAUCACUGGGCGUAAAGGGCGCGUAGGCGGCGUUUUAAGUCGGGGGUGAAAGCCUGUGGCUCAACCACAGAAUGGCCUUCGAUACUGGGACGCUUGAGUAUGGUAGAGGUUGGUGGAACUGCGAGUGUAGAGGUGAAAUUCGUAGAUAUUCGCAAGAACACCGGUGGCGAAGGCGGCCAACUGGACCAUUACUGACGCUGAGGCGCGAAAGCGUGGGGAGCAAACAGGAUUAGAUACCCUGGUAGUC